AUUAAGUGGAGAAAACAAAGUAAUAUCUAUAAAAUGAAGAGGAAUUUUAAUCAUUUACCCAAAUUACAAACUGCACAACAAUUUUUAUUUUUGUAGCUUUCUGGACAUGCUCUAGUAAAAGCUUUUUGGACUCAUUUUUCUUUGAAAUUUUUAUCCUCCAUAUUAGUUUUAUGUACAAUCAUUUUGUGGGGUCAAAAUAGGUUAACACAUAUAGUACAUAUGGAAAAAAAAAAAGUUUAGUGGGGUCAUUUGACUUCACUUCAUAAUAUGAGGCGCCGCCACUGCUUGUAGAGCUUAGAAAAAUAACAGAAUUGAUG
Molecule: unclassified non-coding RNA, 317 nt
Filed under: Hevea brasiliensis (rubber tree)
Lineage: Eukaryota; Viridiplantae; Streptophyta; Magnoliopsida; Malpighiales; Euphorbiaceae
Source: RNAcentral